GAUCAUGGCUCAGGAUGAACGCUAGCGGGAGGCCUAACACAUGCAAGCCGAGCGGUAGAGUAUCUUCGGAUACUUGAGAGCGGCGCACGGGUGCGGAACACGUGUGCAACCUGCCUUUAUCUGGGGGAUAGCCUUUCGAAAGGAGGAUUAAUACCCCAUAAUAUAUUGAGUGGCAUCACUUAAUAUUGAAAACUCCGGUGGAUAGAGAUGGGCACGCGCAAGAUUAGAUAGUUGG
This 235-nucleotide ribosomal RNA is filed under the name uncultured bacterium. RNAcentral describes it as "partial 16S ribosomal RNA". It matches the Rfam family "Bacterial small subunit ribosomal RNA", at positions 15 to 252 of the family's 1533-position model. The record is from RNAcentral.